GACGAACGCUGGCGGCGUGCUUAACACAUGCAAGUCGUACGGUAAGGCCCUUUCGGGGGUACACGAGUGGCGAACGGGUGCGUAACACUUGAGUAACCUUCCCACAACUUUGGGACAACGCUAGGAAACUGGGGCUAAUACUGGAAAUGUUCUCCUGCUUCAUCGUGGGGGUUGGAAAGCUCCUGCGGUUUUGGAUGGACUCGCGGCCUAUCAGCUUGUUGGUGGGGUAGUGGCCUACCAAGGCGGCGAGGGGUAGCCGGCCUGAGAGGGUGAGCGGCCACCUUGGGACUGAGAGGCGGCAGAGAUGCGGACGGGAGGAAGAAGUGGGGAAGCUUGCACAAUGGGCGCCACGCUGGUGAAGAAGGGCCGCGGGCGGGAUGACGGCUUUCGGGGUGUAAAACGCUUGCAGCAGGAACGAAGCUUUUUGUGACGGUACCUGCAGAAGAAGCACCGGCUAACUACGUG
Molecule: ribosomal RNA, 465 nt
Filed under: uncultured bacterium
Lineage: Bacteria
Description: partial 16S ribosomal RNA
Rfam family: Bacterial small subunit ribosomal RNA
Source: RNAcentral